CCUACGGGUGGCAGCAGUGGGGAAUAUUGGACAAUGGGCGAAAGCCUGAUCCAGCCAUGCCGCGUGUGUGAAGAAGGCCUUCGGGUUGUAAAGCACUUUCAGUGGGGAAGAAAGCCUUGGGGCUAAUACCCUCGAGGAAGGACAUCACCCACAGAAGAAGCACCGGCUAACUCCGUGCCAGCAGCCGCGGUAAUACGGAGGGUGCGAGCGUUAAUCGGAAUUACUGGGCGUAAAGCGCGCGUAGGCGGUCUGAUAAGCCGGUUGUGAAAGCCCCGGGCUCAACCUGGGAACGGCAUCCGGAACUGUCAGGCUAGAGUGCAGGAGAGGAAGGUAGAAUUCCCGGUGUAGCGGUGAAAUGCGUAGAGAUCGGGAGGAAUACCAGCGGCGAAGGCGGCCUUCUGGACUGACACUGACGCUGAGGUGCGAAAGCGUGGGUAGCAAACAGGAUUAGAUACUCGAGUAGUC
This 465-nucleotide ribosomal RNA is filed under the name Vreelandella stevensii. Its description in RNAcentral is "partial 16S ribosomal RNA". It matches the Rfam family "Bacterial small subunit ribosomal RNA", at positions 338 to 795 of the family's 1533-position model. The record is from RNAcentral. Lineage: Bacteria; Pseudomonadati; Pseudomonadota; Gammaproteobacteria; Oceanospirillales; Halomonadaceae.